This 254-nucleotide ribosomal RNA is filed under the name uncultured bacterium. RNAcentral describes it as "partial 16S ribosomal RNA". It matches the Rfam family "Bacterial small subunit ribosomal RNA", at positions 524 to 776 of the family's 1533-position model. The record is from RNAcentral.
UACGGAGGGUGCAAGCGUUAUCCGGAUUUACUGGGUUUAAAGGGUGCGUAGGCGGGUUGUUAAGUCAGUGGUGAAAGAUUCGAGCUCAACUCGGAAACUGCCAUUGAUACUGACAAUCUUGAAUAUAGUUGAGGUGGGCGGAAUGUGUCAUGUAGCGGUGAAAUGCUUAGAUAUGACACAGAACACCGAUUGCGAAGGCAGCUUGCUAAACUAUUAUUGACGCUGAGGCACGAAAGCGUGGGGGAGCGAACAGG